AUUCAAUUCAAUUUGAUAUUCUAAUUCCUCUCGCUCUCUAUUAUUCAGAACUCAGCAAUCCUUUCUUGAUCCUCUUUCAAUCCCAAAUAUUUUUCGAUUGAUUUGCCUGAUUCAAAAUUUCCGAUCGAUAAUUUGCCACGCCGCCGUUAGUAUUCGUGCUCGGAGACCGGAGGUCCGUCGAAGCAUCUCAAUUGGACAGAUUAUUUUUAGAUUAUGCAGUGAUACAUACUAUCUCGAAUACCUAUUUUUUCGGAUCUGAGGCUCAUUUUUCUGGUAUUUUGCGGCGCUUUGAGUGUGGAAACAGAUUUUGGGACGGAAAAAAGUGAGAUUGAACUCUUUAGAAAGACACAUGUGAGCAAGUCAAGGGGAGGAGAAUUCAUCAACACAGUUGCUCAAUCUAAAUAUAAUGAGAUGGUUGACUUGAAAAUGAAAGCUGCUGAACACGGCAAAGAAUCACUUGCAGAGCCGGUAAUAGUGAAAUCUGUUCUUGGAUACCGAUCUGGAUACAUUAAAGGAAUGGGACAUGGAGUGCAAGUUCUUCACAAUCGUGAAUCAAAUGUAUUUGCUGGCAUUGAUUUGAAGGAGAAGUUGUUGGAACUAGAAAGUGCGAAGGUAGAGAUUGUCAACCUCACAAAUGCAUAUAGUGAACAGAGGAAAAAGAUGGACAAGAUGGAAAGUGAUAUGGCCAAAAUGCAGGGAAUUUUACAACAUAUUGCAGAUGGACAUGAAGCUCGAGCGUGAGAGGAUUGCAAAAGAGAUUCUUGAAAGGUCGUUGGGGAUGAACAAUGUCUACGUCAAGAAAAUAGAUGAUAGUAUAUAAGUUGUGGUUACAAAUAAAUGACAAAUAAAUCUUUUGUGCCUGCUGUUGGAGCAGGACACAGACUGCAUUCUCUCACCGUGCGAGACACAUAAUUGGGAAGCUCCUACUGUCUGGGUUAUGUUUAUAGUGUAUGAAAAUGUGCUAAAUAUGUUUAAACUGCCUCGAUUAUGAUUAGAGUUUCAUUGUUUUAAACUCAUGUGAUCUUUAUUAACAUGCAUUUCGGUGUAGGUGAUUACAUUUGUAUUCUA
Molecule: long non-coding RNA, 1068 nt
Organism: Salvia miltiorrhiza (redroot sage)
Lineage: Eukaryota; Viridiplantae; Streptophyta; Magnoliopsida; Lamiales; Lamiaceae
Exons: 3
Source: RefSeq, a predicted model, not a curated record